Long non-coding RNA from Herpailurus yagouaroundi (jaguarundi), 1950 nucleotides. RefSeq lists it as uncharacterized. NCBI's taxonomy places the organism in Eukaryota, Metazoa, Chordata, Mammalia, Carnivora, Felidae. The record is from RefSeq and is a predicted model, not a curated record. The transcript has 3 exons.
AAAACUUACCAUCCAGCCAAAGCCCUGGUCUGACAUUGUGCAGAUUGUACUCUGCCCACCAGGGGCACAAAUACACCAUCCUAAUGGUGCCCUGUGCCCAGUUACAUUCCAUCUCAAGCUUUUCAAGACAUUUAAAAUCCCUAUAGCCUUGAUUAUCGUUGAACAGCAUCCAGUUAAAACUCGUGUCAUCCAGUUCCUAGUGCACCAGCCUCUGAGAGUUGGGUAAAUUUUCAGAAAGGGGAGUUGUUCACCUAACUUUCACCUUCAAGCCUCAGAAUAUCCUUAUACCAAUACUCAUAAGUACUCUCAUAUCUGAAAGUGAUGACUUAAAUGCUUCUUGGUCUUGUGUAAAUGUACUCGUUUUAAACAAAUUUUCUCAUUGUGAUAAAAUACAGAGAACAUAAAAGUUGACAUCUUAACCAUUUUUAAGUGUGAAGUUCAGCAGUAUCAAAAACAUUCACGUCUUUCUGUAACCAUCACCACUAACCAUCCUCAGAACUUUUCUAUCUUCCCAAGCUGAACCGUCAUACACAUUAAACAAUAAUUCUGUGUUCUCCCACACCACAGCCCCUGAGAACCAUCAUUUUACUUUCUGUCUCUAUGCAUUUACCUAUCCUAGGCUCCUCAUAGAAGUAGAAUCACACUUUUGUGUCUGGCUUAUUUCACUUAGCAUAAUGUUUUCAAGUUGAACCAAAAUUUUGAGCUAACAAAAUCUCUAAGCUGAUAAGCUGUCAUGUAAAAUAAUUCUUCCUUAUUUCUAGUUUCUUGCACUUUCCUUUUCAAAAGUGUCUUUUGACCAGGGCUUCCUUUUGAACAGCCCGAGUCCUGGUAAAUUGGACAGACUCUCUCACAGACUCUUUACACUGCCAAUGGAAGUAUCAGGCAGAAUUUAGAUAACCACUUGGUGGGGAUAUUGUAGAAGUUUGAAUUAGAUGAGCUUAAAUCUCUCAUUCUACUCUACAACCUGGUGACUUUUACAAAUGCUUUUGUUUGUUCCUUCAUUUAUUCACCAUAGGAAUUUGUCAGCACUUACUGAGUACCUACCGCAUGUAAAUGAUGGCUGUUGACACAAUGUGGUGACUGAUGAUAUUGACUUGGCUCCCAACUUCUGCAGCGGAAUCAGGAACUUGGGCACUGCCCUAACAGACUGGCUUUUGCUCUCAAUCAGCUGGCACUGCUAGUUGGGGCUCCUGGAGACAUUUCGACCUGCCAACCAUGAUCCAGCCCCAGGCUUCUGUUCUUCCAGUCACCGUCUCACUUCUUUCAGGUGCCUGCUCUAAUGUCACCUCAGUCGGAAGGCUUUCCUGGCCACAGUAGGUGACUGAAUCGUGCGAUCUCAUGGGACAGAACACCUGGAGACGGAGAAGCUGCCACAGGAGCACACGGAGCCUGGCUUCUUCUGAUCACCUCACACCAUCUAGCGCGGCCACCUUGUCAGACAUCGUGCGACGCUCUCUUCAAACCGCCCAGAGAUGGGCCCAAGGCAAGCGUCUGGCUGUGGGGCGGAUUUUCUUCUCAGCAGAGGAUAAUAAGCCAGAUCAAGCAGAGGAUAUGGGAACAAAGCGCGGGGCCGCCGGCCGCCGUCUGGCACGUGGAAGAAUCGGGCUGUGAGUUUCAUUCCCACGAUGUUUCUCUGGAGAGAGAAAUGGCCAAAGUUUCCAAAGUGUACGUGAUUUUCUUUUUUCCAGGGAAAGAUUAAUCUUUACUUCUUCUAAAAAGCAAUCUGUUUAUACAUUUGCUGGAGGAUGUGCCUGGAAAAAAAUUAAAAUAGGAGAACUUGAUCUGACACAUCUGGAGCAGACGGGCAUGUUUUGUUUGGCUUCCUGAAGAUGUUUAAAUUGGGGUUAAGACGGGGAAGAUGGUAAAACUGUGUGAAGACUCAGGUGGCUGGGAAAAGACCAGCGUGGAAUGUGAAAAAAGGAGCGGAAUAAAAUGUAGCAGGCUGAAUCA